RNAcentral lists this transfer RNA (97 nucleotides) under Trametes sanguinea. RNAcentral's name for it is "tRNA-Ser". It matches the Rfam family "tRNA". From Rfam's summary of the family: Transfer RNA (tRNA) molecules are approximately 80 nucleotides in length. Their secondary structure includes four short double-helical elements and three loops (D, anti-codon, and T loops). Lineage: Eukaryota; Fungi; Basidiomycota; Agaricomycetes; Polyporales; Polyporaceae. The record is from RNAcentral.
GACACUAUAGCCAAGUGAUUAAGGCGACAGAUUAGAAUCGCACCUGCGAAUUAUCUGUUUCCCUCUGGGAGCGUAGGUUCGAACCCUACUGGUGUCG